Molecule: ribosomal RNA, 448 nt
Filed under: uncultured bacterium
Lineage: Bacteria
Description: bacterial SSU rRNA
Rfam family: Bacterial small subunit ribosomal RNA
Source: RNAcentral
GCCAGACUCCUACGGGAGGCAGCAGUGGGGAAUAUUGGACAAUGGGGGGAACCCUGAUCCAGCGACGCCGCGUGAGUGAAGAAGUAUUUCGGUAUGUAAAGCUCUAUCAGCAGGGAAGAAAGAAAUGACGGUACCUGACUAAGAAGCCCCGGCUAACUACGUGCCAGCAGCCGCGGUAAUACGUAGGGGGCAAGCGUUAUCCGGAUUUACUGGGUGUAAAGGGAGCGCAGACGGCAGUGCAAGUCUGGAGUGAAAGCCCGGGGCCCAACCCCGGAACUGCUCUGGAAACUGUGCGGCUAGAGUACUGGAGGGGCAGGCGGAAUUCCUAGUGUAGCGGUGAAAUGCGUAGAUAUUAGGAGGAACACCAGUGGCGAAGGCGGCCUGCUGGACAGUAACUGACGUUGAGGCUCGAAAGCGUGGGAAGCAAACAGGAUUAGAUACCCGGGUA